UUCACUGUUUUAUCAGAAAAUCUGAAAAUUAAAAGCUUCAAAAAAAAAAAAAAAAGGGGCGGGGGAUAGCAUUUAGCAAUGAGAGAAGCUUUCUUUGGGAUUUUUUCAUUGUUAUUUAUUGCUUAUUUCAGUGAAUUAGCUUCAUCUAACAUUGUUUUUAAGCCCUUAUCAAUUUCCUUGCCGGACCUUCCCGCCAAAUUCGCUAUUGGGAAUAACACGGGCGUUUGUGGUGCUCUUGAAGUGGCGGAUCCAUUGGAUGCUUGUAGUCCGCUCCGAAACGAUUUCGGAUCUAACCAAAGUGAAGCUAUAAGAUUUGCUUUGAUAAUUAGAGGGGAUUGUUCUUUCGAGGAGAAAAUCCGAAACGCUCAAAAUAAGGGUUUUUCUGCUGCAAUUGUUUACGAUGAUAAAUAUAGUAACAAUUUAGUAUACAUGAUGGUGAACCCUAAAGGAAUCAAAGUGCUAGCUGUUUUUGUGUCUAAAUCUGCUGGUGAAUUUUUAAAAGAUCAUGCUAAAGGUGAAAAUGGGGAAUGCUGUAUUUACCCACCAUUGAAUGGGAAAGCAUGGACUGUUUUUGCUAUUUGUUUCCUAUCACUUGUUGUUAUAGCAGCUUUCUUGGUGAUUGCCUUUGUUGCUCCUCGAAGCUUGUCGAAUUGGCGACGAAGGAAUUUAGUGAGACGUGUUGAUAGUAAAGUGGUUGAAGCUCUUCCUUGUCUUGUGUUUGGUUCGGCCCGUUCGAGUAUUGCCGGUGAAACUUGUGCGAUUUGCCUCGAGGAUUAUAAUGAUGGGGAGCUUCUUAAAGUGCUUCCUUGUCAACAUGAUUUUCAUUCAAGCUGUGUAGAGUCAUGGCUGACUAAGUGGGGGACUUUCUGCCCUGUAUGCAAACUCGAUAUGACAACCAAAUUUGCAUUUUCCAAGCUAGAACUAGGCCUAUUGUGACGUGAUGGCAUUUGGUGGUGAAAAACAUCACUCGAAUGGCUGGUCUUAUUAUCCUUGUAGCAUCUAAUGAAGACAUAUUUUGUCAGCAUUUCUCUCCUUUAUUGCAAAGAUAAGGAUCUUGACCUGACUUACCUUAUUGUUUUACUUUGCUAGAACUAGUCCUUAUUGUGACAUGAUGGCAUUUGGUGAUGGAAAACAUGACUCGAAUGGCCAUUUUGUCUACAUUUCUCACCUUUAUUACAAAGAUAAGAAUCUUGAACCGACGUACCUUAUUGCCACUGAAAUCUGUUUGUCUUCAUUCGACAGAUCAAGCGGGGCAGCCGAGUUUAGAUUCAAUAAUCGAACAUGAUCUUUUGGCUUGGUCUUCAAUUUUGGUGUGCCGCUUUCUCCUUGCAAUGGCCAUCCCUAUCAGAAGUGUGUUUCUGCACCCUUUGUCUCUUCAAAAUCAUGCACAAAACAUUUGGGAAACGCUGAUGCAGCCGUCUGGCCAUUGUAUUCGUUGCCAUCUCUCCGGCAUCAAAUUGAUCCGCUGGCAUUGUGGUGUAUAAUUUUCAACCGGAAGGGUCAAAAACCGAACAGUCUUCCCUGUAUGAAUGAUGUUCUUGUACAUGGUUAUUUUCUCAUUUAGUCCAAGAUGGGUGAUUUAUGAAGAAAAGUUCCCUGGUUGGAUGAUAUAUUCAUACUAGUGUUGUAGUAAAAUAGUCAUUUCCAUGUAAAGCAUGAAACAAUAAAGGUGCAAUCAAUCAAUUCAACGGUUCAUUAUUCCCAAAA
Gossypium raimondii (Peruvian cotton) is the source of this 1707-nucleotide RNA transcript. It is a transcript of the gene named receptor homology region, transmembrane domain- and RING domain-containing protein 1, with no coding region annotated. The transcript is spliced from 6 exons. Lineage: Eukaryota; Viridiplantae; Streptophyta; Magnoliopsida; Malvales; Malvaceae. The record is from RefSeq and is a predicted model, not a curated record.